Molecule: ribosomal RNA, 619 nt
Filed under: Trichoderma harzianum
Lineage: Eukaryota; Fungi; Ascomycota; Sordariomycetes; Hypocreales; Hypocreaceae
Also listed under: 1 other name
Description: eukaryotic LSU rRNA
Rfam family: 5.8S ribosomal RNA (bases 233-386)
Source: RNAcentral
UCCGUAGGUGAACCUGCGGAGGGAUCAUUACCGAGUUUACAACUCCCAAACCCAAUGUGAACGUUACCAAACUGUUGCCUCGGCGGGAUCUCUGCCCCGGGUGCGUCGCAGCCCCGGACCAAGGCGCCCGCCGGAGGACCAACCAAAACUCUUAUUGUAUACCCCCUCGCGGGUUUUUUUUAUAAUCUGAGCCUUCUCGGCGCCUCUCGUAGGCGUUUCGAAAAUGAAUCAAAACUUUCAACAACGGAUCUCUUGGUUCUGGCAUCGAUGAAGAACGCAGCGAAAUGCGAUAAGUAAUGUGAAUUGCAGAAUUCAGUGAAUCAUCGAAUCUUUGAACGCACAUUGCGCCCGCCAGUAUUCUGGCGGGCAUGCCUGUCCGAGCGUCAUUUCAACCCUCGAACCCCUCCGGGGGGUCGGCGUUGGGGAUCGGCCCUGCCUUGGCGGUGGCCGUCUCCGAAAUACAGUGGCGGUCUCGCCGCAGCCUCUCCUGCGCAGUAGUUUGCACACUCGCAUCGGGAGCGCGGCGCGUCCACAGCCGUUAAACACCCAACUUCUGAAAUGUUGACCUCGGAUCAGGUAGGAAUACCCGCUGAACUUAAGCAUAUCAAUAAGCGGAGGA